ACGAAAGCGAAUAAGGGCGCAUGGGGGAUGCCUUGGCUCUCAGAGGCGAAGAAGGGCGUGGUAAGCUGCGAAAAGCUUUGGAUAGGCGCGAACGGCCGUUAGACCCAAAGAUACCCGAAUGGGGCAACCCGUUCCGAUGAAGUCGGAACAUCCGUAAAGGAGGCAAACCUGGGGAACUGAAACAUCUAAGUACCCGGAGGAAGAGAAAACAACAGUGAUUUCCUAAGUAGUGGCGAGCGAACGGGAAAGAGCCUAAACCGCUUUGCUUAGCGAAGCGGGGUUAUAGGGCUUAACAUGAUGCAGAUUAUCUGGAAUUGGAAUUACCUGGAAAGGUAAGACGAAGAGGGUGAAAUCCCCGUACAAGUAAAGCGAUAAUUUGUAGUUAAGUACCUGAGUAGCGCGAAGCCGGUGGAACUUUGCGUGAAUUAGCCGGCACCAUCCGGUAAGGCUAAAUACUCCUGAGAGACCGAUAGAGAAUAGUACCGUGAGGGAAAGGUGAAAAGGACCCCGCACAGGGGAGUGAAAAGAACCUGAAACCAUGCGCCUACAAGCGGUCGGAGCCAGUAAAAUGGUGACGGCGUGCCUUUUGCAUAAUGAGCCUACGAGUUACUGUUCACCGGCGAGGUUAAGUUACAGGGAGUAACGGAGCCGUAGCGAAAGCGAGUCUGAAUAGGGCGGAAAUAGUCGGUGGACGUAGACGCGAAACCUGCGUGAUCUACACAUGGUCAGGAUGAAGUUUCGGUAAAGCGAAAUGGAGGUCCGAACUGAUUAGCGUUGAAAAGCUACCGGAUGAACUGUGUGUAGGGGUGAAAGGCCAAUCAAACUGGGAGAUAGCUCGUACUCCCCGAAAUGCCUUUAGGGGCAGCCUUGAGGUAAAGUGUAACAGAGGUAGAGCUACCAAUUGGGCUAGGGGGUUUCAUCGCCUACCAACCCCUGAUGAACUCCGAAUGCUGUUACAUAUACUCAGGAGUGAGGCACAGGGUGCUAAGGUCAUGUGCCGAGAGGGAAAGAACCCAGACCAUCAGCUAAGGUCUCUAAAUGUGUACUAAGUUGAAAUAACGAUGUGAGACUGCAUAGACAGCUGGAUGUUGGCUUGGAAGCAGCCAUUCAUUUAAAGAGUGCGUAACAGCUCACUUAGUCGAGUGGUUUUGCGCGGAAAAUAAUCGGGCAUCAAGUACACUACCGAAGCUAUGGUAUUAACGGGAAGUUAAUAGGUAGGGGAGCAUUCUGACUGCGUUGAAUGGCAAGUGUGAGCUUGUUUGGAGCGGUUAGAAAAGCAAAUGUAGGCAUAAGUAGCGAUAAAGCGGGUGAGAAACCCGCUCACCGUAAGACUAAGGUUUCCUGAUCAACGUUAAUCGGAUCAGGGUUAGUCGGGUCCUAAGGCAAACCCGAGAGGGGUAGUUGAUGGGAAACGGGUUAAUAUUCCCGUACCGGCUUAUACUGCGAAGUGGUGACGGAGAGGCGUAGCGGCUGCGUACUGACGGAAUAGUACGUUGAAGACAGUAGGCGAUGAGACUUGCAGGCAAAUCCGCAAGUUGAGCUGAGCGUUGAUAGUACCGAGAGUCUUUGGACGAUUGGAUAAUGCCGUGAAGCGAACUUCCAAGAAAACCCUCUAAGCUAAAGGUAUAAGGCGCUCGUACCGUAAACCGACACAGGUAGUCGAGGAGAAUAUCCUAAGGUGCUCGAGUGAUUCACGGCUAAGGAACUCGGCAAAAUGGUCUCGUAACUUCGGGAGAAGAGACGCCUACCCUCUCAAGAGGGAGGCCGCAGAGAAUAGGUCCAGGCGACUGUUUAGCAAAAACACAGGACACUGCAAAGCCGCGAGGCGCAGUAUAGUGUCUGACACCUGCCCGGUGCCGGAAGGUUAAGGAAGGGGGUUAGUCGCAAGGCGAAGCUCUUGACUGAAGCCCCGGUAAACGGCGGCCGUAACUAUAACGGUCCUAAGGUAGCGAAAUUCCUUGUCGGGUAAGUUCCGACCUGCACGAAUGGUGUAACGAUCUGGACGCUGUCUCGGCCGUGAGCUCGGCGAAAUUGUAGUAGCGGUGAAGAUGCCGCUUACCCGCAACGGGACGGAAAGACCCCGUGAACCUUCACUAUAACUUUGCAUUGGAACUGGUUAAAUGAUGUGUAGGAUAGGUGGGAGACUGUGAGAUAGUGUCGUCAGGCAUUAUGGAGUCGUCCUUGAAAUACCACCCUUUGUUUAGUUAGUUCCUAACUUUUUGGAUAAGAAGGACAUUGCAUGGUGGGUAGUUUGACUGGGGUGGUCGCCUCCAAAAGCGUAACGGAGGCUUCCAAAGGUACCCUCAGCACGGUUGGUAAUCGUGCGAAGCGUGUAUUAGCAGAAGGGUGCUUGACUGCGAGACAGACAGGUCGAGCAGGUACGAAAGUAGGGUAAAGUGAUCCGGUGGUUCCGUAUGGAAGGGCCAUCGCUCAAAGGAUAAAAGGUACUCCGGGGAUAACAGGCUGAUCUCCCCCAAGAGCUCAUAUCGACGGGGAGGUUUGGCACCUCGAUGUCGGCUCGUCACAUCCUGGGGCUGGAGAAGGUCCCAAGGGUUGGGCUGUUCGCCCAUUAAAGUGGCACGCGAGCUGGGUUCAGAACGUCGCAAGACAGUUCGGUCCCUAUCUGUUGCGGGCGAUAGAAGUUUGCGGAGAUCUGACUCUAGUACGAGAGGACCGGGUCGGACGAACCUCUGGUAUGCCGGUUGUGUCGCCAGGCGCACCGCCGGGUAGCUAUGUUCGGAAAGGAUAAGCGCUGAAAGCAUCUAAGCACGAAACCAACUCCAAGAUGAGACUUCUUUUAAGGGUCGUGGAAGAUGACCACGUUGAUAGGUUGCAGGUGUAAAGCUGGAGAUAGCAAAGCCGAGCAAUACUAAUAACCCGUAAGCUUUCAUAA
This 2893-nucleotide ribosomal RNA is filed under the name Sphingobacteriales bacterium. RNAcentral's name for it is "23S ribosomal RNA". It matches the Rfam family "Bacterial large subunit ribosomal RNA". The record is from RNAcentral. Lineage: Bacteria; Pseudomonadati; Bacteroidota; Sphingobacteriia; Sphingobacteriales.